UAGAUAUAUGAUGUAUGUAGAGAUUUUUGUUACAGUUAACUACAGUGCGGGGCAAGGCGGUUCGUAACAUUCGAAGUAUAAAUUAUAAAACCAACCAAAAUUUUUACCAAAAUUUUGCUUGUGCUAGUAUCAUCUGACCUGUAUUGGAUUUAUUUAGUACAUAGAAUCGAUCAGUGAUAGAAAUAUAGAAUCGAUUAGUGAUCGAUCGAAGUGGUCUAGAUGGGUAGAUGAGUUUAAAGAGUCAACAAAACAUCGUUAAAAGCCCUUUUACAAAAAAAAAAAAAAAGUCGUUAAAUGUACCUUUCACGUAAGUAUGCAUAAUGCACGUAGUCUUGUGUUGUGUCAUUGUCCUGUUGUCUUAUUGUCUUUUUGCUUAUACGUACGCCAAAGGCAAAGACAAUUCACAAUUUGAAUGAAACAUUAUAAAAACCAAUACAUGUCUAAUUUAGACCACUCAAAAACAAUCAUGACAAUCAAUAGUAGCUAAUAGAUAUUUUAUGUUUUUUGAAAUAGUAUUUUAGAGAAAAAUAUUAUUUUAGAGAGACAAUUCGACAUCAU
RNAcentral lists this long non-coding RNA (558 nucleotides) under Brassica rapa (field mustard). RNAcentral describes it as "long non-coding RNA (BRAP_LNC006445)". Lineage: Eukaryota; Viridiplantae; Streptophyta; Magnoliopsida; Brassicales; Brassicaceae. The record is from RNAcentral.